CUUUAGAUGCCCCGAGUUAUUUCUAAUUAUUACCGGGUGUUGAUUUUUAGAAAAUCCUAUGAAAAGUUAAGUCCUUGAAAAUUUUGAGUUUCAUAAGCUUUAAGUGUUAAAAAGUGGUAUUUGGGGUCAAUUAGAGCUACGGGUCUCAGAAUGGAAUUCCGUCAAUUCCAGCAGCUCCGAAAUGUCGAAAUAGGCUUAGGAGACUUUACAGAAUCAGUUUUGGAGCUGUAACGAAGAUUUGAGGCCUUGAGUUGAGAAUUUGAAGAACUUUAAGGCAAGGUUUGACUUUGGUCAACUUUUGGAGUUUCGAUGCUCAGAAUGGAAUUUCGACAACUCCGUUGGAUUCAGGAGAUGGUUUUUGGUCUAGAAGAAGUGUUGGUUGAAUUUUUAGAGGUCCCGAGUCCAUUUUGGUAUUUUAAAGGCCUAAGUUAGUUUAGUUGCGACUUUUUGAGUUUUGGGCUAACGAAAUCUCGAAUUCAAAUUCUGAUGGUUCCAUCAGCUCCGGAAUGACCAAAUUAGGCUAGUAGCACUGUUGGAAUGACUAUCGAGUCAAUCGAUACGAGUUUGGGGCUAUUUGGCACUUUUGACUUUGAAACUUAGCUUAUAGUUGACUUUGGUCAACAUUCUUGGAAAAUGCGCUCGAAUAAAAAUUCUGACAGCGCGGUUAGUUCCGGAAUGUUGAUUUUGGUCUAGAACGACCCUUCGUUCGCUUUUUGAGGCUUCCGGACUAAUAUCGAGGCCCGUUGUGAAAUAUGACUUAAAAUGACUCUUGGAUGUGGGACCCACUUUUUAUUAUAAUAACCUCGUAUGAGAAUUCUGAAUGCGCCAUUGAGUCCGAAAUAUCGAAUUUAGUAGGGUAGCAUAUCUGGUUUAUUUUUAUCGGAUUCCGAACGAAUUCCGAGGGUCCAUUCGGAGACUUUAAAUAAUAGAAAACCAGAAAAAUCUGGUGCAAUAGUGCAGAUUUUUGCACCAGAUUUUCAGAUUUUUCUCCUCAACUUUGAACCCUCAUUUCUUGAGUUCUAGAGCUCCAAAUUGGGUGAUUCAAAAGGCAAAAUUGUGAGGUUUUUCGUGGAGAACGCAUUGGAGAGAUUGAAAACUAAUUUGGAGCAUUCGAUUCAGGUAAAAAUCGUGAUAUUAUUUGCAGCAGUGUCCAUUUCCGGAAUGGAUUUUUGAAGAACUUUGACAAGUUAUUUCUUGACCAAUAUAAAUCCGAUUUGGGCGAUUCCAGAGGCUAUCUUGCGUGGAACUUUAAGGAGAACAUCGUGGAAGUUUCAGAAUCUGUUUUUGGCACGUCGUUCGAGUUUGGCAGCGUUACGAGGUCGUUCGAAAGGAAAAAGCUCCAGCACAGUGAUUUGAAGCUCGCGUGUUUAGCCUACAGGACCGAGCACCAGCUACUGUUACGAAUAGAUCGAGCUUGUUGCAGUCAGAUUCGGAGACUAGGGUGAUAACUUGGCGUUUUUGGAUCACUUCUGUCUCCUUCAAAAUGGAUGGCCCGUCUUUUGCCUUUUGAGACUAGCCAGUUAUUGUACAUAUAUGUCCGGUCCACUUUCGAGACUUGUACUCGUCUUUUAUUUUAUAGCAGCUCUGUACUUGUGACUUCCAGGUUCUGGGAGGGAUCUUUAGUUGUUUAAAACAUGUUUUGGUUUACUUCCGCUUUUUCAUUUUGUUUACUUUUAUAAUUCAAUGCUCUUAUAUAGUUUUUGCCUUCAAACACAUUACUUGAAGUUCCGGGUUGACGGGUUGGCUUACCUACUAGAGGGUUAUAGUAGGUGC
Long non-coding RNA from Solanum dulcamara, 1773 nucleotides. RefSeq lists it as uncharacterized. The transcript is spliced from 3 exons. The record is from RefSeq and is a predicted model, not a curated record. NCBI's taxonomy places the organism in Eukaryota, Viridiplantae, Streptophyta, Magnoliopsida, Solanales, Solanaceae.